Tripterygium wilfordii is the source of this 913-nucleotide long non-coding RNA. RefSeq lists it as uncharacterized. The transcript is spliced from 2 exons. NCBI's taxonomy places the organism in Eukaryota, Viridiplantae, Streptophyta, Magnoliopsida, Celastrales, Celastraceae. The record is from RefSeq and is a predicted model, not a curated record.
CUUCUGAAAAAUUAUUUUGAAGCCUAAGCUCGGCCAGAUUAGGCUCAUUUUGAGAAAACUGGGCUUGAGGCCCAUUUCGUUGCGCUACGAAUCUGAUCUCACCUUAAGCCCAUUUGUGGAGGCUGAAGCCCGUUUUGACUAAACUAAAUCAGUAAGAUAUUGACUAAACCCCUCCUCUUUUGAAACAAAGCGAACUUGAAGAGGGCGGGGUUGCGGGGUUUCUUUUCAAAACCCUCCACAAAUAAAAACUAGACAAUAAAACAGAGAACAACACCUUCUCUUUCUCUCUCUGUCUGUCUGUUCGUUUCUAUCUGCUUGUUUUUGUCUUUGGGAUUCGUGCAGUCUCGAUCCUCAAUUUCUCUCGCUUUCUCCGCACAGAACCAAACCCAGUGAGGUAAUACCGCCUCUCCUCGAAAACCCUUCAACCCUACUUUUCUUUUUAUUCUCUCUUUUCUUUGCCACUCUUUUUUUUUUUUCAUCGCUCUCAUUUCCUCUUUUCUCUAGUUUUAGAAUGUUAGGGUUUGAGACGUUCCCUGCAACUCCGACCCAGGGCCAAACUGGCCCUGGCCAUGGCAUUCCUCUUGAGAGAUGGCAUCUGCUCAAAAGGUUAGAUACAAGAAUGAUGCAGAUGUCGUCUGCUGAAAGGCUUUGGUUCCAUUCCAACAUUGGACAUGAAAUACUAAUCAGUAAGGUACUGUUGGAAAUUGUGGGUUGAUAUACUUGAGAUUUGGAAUAGGGAAUGAAGCCAUUGGUCCGUGUAGCGUAGGGAAACAACAGAGUAUUAUAUUUGAUUUUUGUUGUAAAUUGAUUAAGAUGGUAGAAACGAUGCUUCAAUUUCUAUGUUUGUGCUCUUUUGAUUGCUAUCUCUGUGUGUGUGUGUCUGUGGAUUGUAUACCUAUGAUUCUUUUGAUGA